Molecule: long non-coding RNA, 1702 nt
Filed under: Homo sapiens (human)
Lineage: Eukaryota; Metazoa; Chordata; Mammalia; Primates; Hominidae
Description: HSALNT0253672
Source: RNAcentral
GAGCAGCCUGCCAGGAGGAUGUGUGCUUAGGGCUCAACAGGCUAGCAUGUUCGGAUUUCUUCCUCCUGACUCUCAGGCCAAGUAAACAGUCAUCCCGACUGCAGUUUGCACAACAGAUCUUUGCUCCCAAAGUAGUACCCCAAAGUGUUCUUAUUCCCAUUUUACACAUGAGGAAACUGAGGCUCUGCGUGUUCAGACUUGCUUAAAAUUAUCCAGCUCCUACAGAGGUAGAAUUGGCAUCAAAGCCCAGGCACCCCCCGCUGCAAAGCUCACGCCCAGCAGCUCCCGUGGCCAAACCAACCACUUCAGAAGCUAGAAGCAUAACCUUUCUGUCCCUCCCAGAAGACCCCACUUCCUGACUGUAAAGGAAUGAGGACAUUUAUCAUAUGGAGAGGCCCCCGGCAGGGAGCCGAGGCCACCAAGAGCUCCAUGUCCCUAAAUCUCUGGCUGUGCUCCAACUUUGGACAACGACAGGGGGGCGACAGCAUCCUGGGGACAAAGGACUUCUGGAAACCCAGGGGGUCGCUCCUCUCCCCAAGUGUCAAGGCUCAUUUCUACUCCAUCAUCUCUUGUCCUAACUUUUAUGGAAGCCUGAUAAACCACUUCUAAGCAUGUAUGUAAUGUUUGCUUUCAUGGGACAGUCUCAGUGAAAUUCUAUCUCGGUCACAAAUCUCUGAGCUUUGUAAAUGUCAAACAGAAUCAGUUUUCUAAUACUUGGUAAUGGAGGCAUCAAAGUUCCCCUUCUCUCUCUCUGACAGGAGCCGAGCAUCUGAGGUUUCCUGCUCCUGAGAGAAAGCCCCGGCUGCCCAGGCUCAGGGUCUGGUGGCAGUGUCAGUCGCCGAGGGACAGAAGAGUGAGUCGGGACAAUCAAAAGGAAUUUACAACCCACAGAUUAGGUGAUAAGCCCAGAAUCAUUGAAGUGAUGACCCCCCCACUGCGGCCUCCCUCCACACCCUGCCAGAGAAAGGACCCCUACACCACACCACACCCAGCUGGAGUCAGCUGCACUCCGGAGGCCACAUGUUGUCUUGCCAUGCCGCAUGUGCACACCCGUCUGCCCACAGGCACAAGCCAGCCGCAGCUUCUUUCACGUUCCCAAGCCUCGCCUAAGCCCUGGCACAGAGUGGGCACGUGACCAUUUUGGUGAAGGGACACGUUCAUGAAGAAUGGAUGAGAGAAGUGUAUUGUGACCACUGGACAACAGAGAGCAAAGAAAGGACUUCUUGUAGCUUGGUCCCUUCUGAGAGAACUGUUAUAAAGGAUUAUUGAAGGUAAUACUUUAAAAGGCAAUCACACGUCUCCUAAAUUGGAAUUCCAACCAGCCAUCUGAGAACUUGAGCAUGGUGUCAGGAAGAGCAACGGCGACAUGAGAGCUGAGAGUGGGAGAACAGUGGACUCACGGGUUGAAUGGAUUGUCUGGAGUGUUUGCACACUUCUUUCAACACCCAGUGCUCCAGCCCGGUGAGCUCCUGAUGCGGCCUUUGUGGGUGCUCCAGGUGUCCCUCACCCCAGUCCCAACUAUGCUAGGUGUAGGUGGGAUACACUCCCUCACUGGGUAUGGGUGGGAUACACUCCCUCACUGGGUAUGGGUGGGAUACACUCCCUCACUGGGUAUGGGUGGGAUACACUCCCUCACUGGGUGUAGGUGGGAUACACUCCCUCACUGGGUAUGGGUGGGAUACACUCCCUCACUGGGUAUGGG